CAUGGCAGUCAGAACAGAAACUUUCUGCAGGUUAAUUAUUGAUCAAACUAAAGUCAUAUUAAGGAGCAACUGGCACGGAGUCAGAGCAGAGCUCAGAAAUCUGAAAUAUAUCAAAGUAUAUUAAAGUUAAAGAGUUUAGAGAACGCUGUUUGGUUUGCUGCCUCAAAGGCAGAUGACUCUCAAUAUCACAAGAUCAGGUGAGAUUUCAGACCAAGGAAAAUCACUGGGAUUAUCUGUGAAGAGGCAGAAAAGCAUAGACGUGGUCUACCUUAUAGCCAUUUUGAAAAGGUGCAGCAGCUGACCUUUGACCUGUGAGCUUCAGACUCUUUGCUGGUGUGAAGUGUUUAAUGUGACUUCAGCCUGCAGACACAGAGGACGGUUACGGAGAAGAAACAGAGGAUUUUCUCAGUUUCUACACAGACCUGGUCCAGACAGCAGAGAGCUGCAGAGUGAAGACGUUCAUGGGAAGAAGCUGAGUGAAGGUAGAAAGUGUGUGUGAGCUGAUGUGAA
Oreochromis niloticus (Nile tilapia) is the source of this 510-nucleotide long non-coding RNA. RefSeq lists it as uncharacterized. The record is from RefSeq and is a predicted model, not a curated record. NCBI's taxonomy places the organism in Eukaryota, Metazoa, Chordata, Actinopteri, Cichliformes, Cichlidae. The transcript has 3 exons.